UUAUUGCUGAAAUCAUGUUAUGCCACUUCGACCCAUAUUAAAACAGCCCCAGAGUUCAAAUCUUUUGUGCAUCAAAAGCUACCACAGUCUAAACAUUUUUUCAUGAAAAUGCAAAAUAAAUUGACUCACCUCAGGAUUCAAGAACAAAUCCAAGUGUUUGUGAAGGAGGACUUGAUUUUGCUGAUUGCCAAGACAAAAAUUCUGGAGGAACUGGUGAGCAAGGCGCAUCAAUUCGUUCAUGCGGAUGUCCUCUUUUUGAUCGUAUGGAACUUGAACCUGAUCCGGAUGGAGCGGCGGUCCAACAUCCAUGUCCACCGCUGAAUUUUGUUUGCUUAGAGAGGGUUCCUUCACGACAGGCUUUGUAUCCCUGACUGCCUCUUCAUCGUCAUCCCUCUUGCUCCGCUUUUUAGCGUGAUCAUCCACGGUUCGCGACUUAUAAACCCACAACUCAGAUUUCUCAACCGACUGUCUCAAAACAUCUAAAUCAGCUUUGAUUUGUUUGUAGGAUUCCACAUCGCUAUCCGAGACCAGUAGUUGUACCUUCAAAACAAAACGAAGAGUUUAAUUUGGACGUAUUUCUACCAAACGGACCUAAGCGCCAAUUUGAGUUCCUUUUGAUGAAUUUAGAAUGCCGGAUAGCGCGUUCUGUCAAACGGACCUAAGCGCCAUGAAAAAGCAUUGCGAGUAUAGGACGGAUUGAGCACCGCACCCGUUUCCGCAGCCAAUCCAAGCCCCCUCUACCUUCCUCCCCCGAUGGCGCUUAGUUCCGUUUGAUAGAAAUACGUCCAUUUGUUCUUUGUUUAUUAGUAACUGAACAAAGCAAACAGAUCAGCAAAAAAAAUAAAAAAGCUCACAGCAAUUUUUGCAGAAAGAACCGUUGCAUUUGCAAAGCCUCUACUUACAAUUAUGCUGGGAGAGAGAUUAUCGAUUUUGUAAAAUUUAGUAAAAGCACAAGCUUUGCGAUAUAAAGGUAAAGAACAGGCUGAGGGCUUUGGGUUUAGAAAAAUCUGCUGUAAUCAGUUUAAAGCAAAUUAUGCCUUAGGCAACAAGCGUACAUCAAUAUGUAAAUAUC
RNAcentral lists this long non-coding RNA (1072 nucleotides) under Bemisia tabaci. RNAcentral's name for it is "lncRNA ENSSWEETPG000927". The record is from RNAcentral. Lineage: Eukaryota; Metazoa; Arthropoda; Insecta; Hemiptera; Aleyrodidae.